GAUGAACGCUGGCGGCGUGCCUAAUACAUGCAAGUCGAACGAACACAUGAGGAGCUUGCUCUUCUAAGGUUAGCGGCGGACGGGUGAGUAACGCGUAGAUAACCUUCCUCUUAGACGGGGAUAACUACGGGAAACCACAGCUGAUACCGCAUAAUAUAUUUUACGGCAUGAUUCAGAAGUGAAAGACGCUUUUGCUGAACCAUUUAGAUGAUUCCGGGUCGCAUUGGUUAGUUGGUAAGGUAACGGCAAACCAAGGCAACGAUGCGUAGCCGACCUGAGAGGAUGAUCGGCCACACUGGAACUGAGACACGGUCCAGACUCCUACGGGAGGCAGCAGUGGGGAAUAUUGGGCAAUGGGCGAAAGCCUGACGCAGCAAUGCCGCGUGGGUGAUGAAGGUCUUCGGAUCGUAAACCCCUUUUAUUGGGAAAGAACAGAUGUAGAAUUAAACAUGCACGUUUUGACGGUACCUAAUCAGAAAGCAACGGCUAACUACGUG
RNAcentral lists this ribosomal RNA (497 nucleotides) under uncultured bacterium. RNAcentral describes it as "partial 16S ribosomal RNA". It matches the Rfam family "Bacterial small subunit ribosomal RNA", at positions 28 to 507 of the family's 1533-position model. The record is from RNAcentral.